GUUUCCCCGCCCGUCAGAUCCAGUCCGUUCGGCGGGAAAAGGCUGAUUUGCUGGAGCAAAACGUUUCAUCACCUAAUUUACAAGAGAGCAGGUAGAAGACCAAGGCCCUGCGGACGUUGAGGGAUUGAAGGUGCCAUUCCUCCGCUGAUGCAUGAAGUUUUGGGAAGAAAGCAGAGAGAUGAGAGUAGAAGCUCUGACUGGAACAUGCGGAGAAACUUCCUCUACACUCGUUGCCUGUUGUACAAGAGGAAUUUCUGAGGGUAGCAAUGGACAGUGUGCGUCCUUUGCCACAUACCACCCAAAGGGGGAAGAAAUAUAUAUUGGUGGUGGUGGAUUUUGCCACCAGAUAUCCUGAGGCAGUAGCUCUAACACUGAGGCAGACAGAGAACCAGUAACUUAAUACACCUCUACCCCGAUAUAACGCGACCCAAUAUAACACGAAUUUGGAUAUA
This is a long non-coding RNA of Trachemys scripta elegans, 452 nucleotides long. RefSeq lists it as uncharacterized. The record is from RefSeq and is a predicted model, not a curated record. The transcript is spliced from 3 exons. NCBI's taxonomy places the organism in Eukaryota, Metazoa, Chordata, Testudines, Emydidae.